CCUAAAAAAUCUCUAUGCUUCUGUAGCCGUCUCCAUCCCCAAAUUCAUUUUCCUAGAAGCUUACACAACAACUCUUGAUCAGCAGAACUAAACACAAAUUCUCUCUUUAUUUGGAGGAUUCAGCUACAUGUUUUAACUAAAUCAUUUGUUACCUUUUUAUUUUAUUCUCAAUCUAUUUGUUUCCUUCCAAACCAUAAUCUCUCUUUCGCUUUUUAACUAAAUCCAAUUCCCCUGUUAAAAUUCAUGUUGACGAUGGCGGGUAAACAAGAUCAGGUUUUCGAGGUCACUGGUUCGUACUUUUUCCCUAUUUUUUUAUGAGAGUCUUGGAGAUGUUCAUCAUAGUUAUCACAGUAGGAGCUUUCUUCUUUGGGAAUUUUAAAUGAGCUUACCUGGAUAUCCUAUGUGUGAAUUCUCUAGGAAUCCAUUCUAUUCUAUGGUGAUAAUGAAUUACUCACAUGUCUACGAAGACAUUACACAUGCCAUUUUUGCCAAAGAUUUGGAUGAAAGUUUGAUGCUAAGUUUGCUCUGAUGGAUGUAAUGUCUUUAAAGCGAUCAUGAAGAAGACCAAAGGAGAUGAUACACUGCACAUUUAAGCAUCUUAUUGCACAUAAGCUAGCGGAAGAAGAAGCUGAACUUUAAGCUAAGGAUCAAGCUAGAAAGGCUAAACAUUUGGAAGAAGGACAUGUUAAACCUGGAAAUUAGUUGGAUACCCAUGAAAGAUUCUAAUUGGUGUUGCCACUAGAUCUAGAAGAUAAACAAGGCGUAGCAUGCUCAGAAGGGUUUGAAUCUUUCCUGGUCAAGAGUCACUAAAGGUAGGGUUUAGGGUUUAGCGAUCCGUGUUUAGAAGGUGCACAUUGGAAUGGAUGUUUAGAAGGUGCACCUUGGAAUGGAGGUAGUUAUCUCACGAGAUCUAAGAUGUAAGGAGUUCUAUAUGGGAAAGAAGUAGUGAAAGAAGUUCAAGGUCUAUAUGGGAAUUUAACAACUCUGUUCUACAAAUUUUGGAAGCUGGAGUGAUGUAUAUCCUCAUGGAAAUUUGUUUUUGUUUAGCUCUAAAAACAAACCAGAGAUUGAGAGAAGCUGUUGGUGCAGUGGCUAUAUAUAUGCUCAAGAGUAUUCCACAUGUUUGCUUCUAAUAUUUAAACCUUACAUUGAAAAGGUGUAAGAUAUUGGAGGAACAAGUUUGAGAAAUUGUCUGACUAAAUCGAAUCUGAAGAAGAUUGUUUGGUCGAUUCGGUAUUGGGUUUGUUUAUUAGCCGAGACGAAGUAUAUUAUCGGGACGCCUCUUCUUGGAGGCAAAAGUUGAAGACCCGUGCUGUCAAGGUUUGAUGAGCAAAUGGGAUCAGUUGAAGCCAUUUACGCAAAAAGUUGUUUCAUGAUGCCAUUUGCAUGGCGGUGCUAAUUCAAGAAGUCAUAUGUGGCGAUUAUGCUUUUGUCAUCCACACAAACAAUCCUGUCUUUG
Molecule: non-coding RNA, 1459 nt
Organism: Camelina sativa (false flax)
Lineage: Eukaryota; Viridiplantae; Streptophyta; Magnoliopsida; Brassicales; Brassicaceae
Source: RefSeq, a predicted model, not a curated record